Molecule: long non-coding RNA, 4444 nt
Organism: Lepidothrix coronata (blue-crowned manakin)
Lineage: Eukaryota; Metazoa; Chordata; Aves; Passeriformes; Pipridae
Exons: 3
Source: RefSeq, a predicted model, not a curated record
CGUGUUCAAGUAACAAAUCCUUAAGUGUAGUCCCUGGGUUCAGGACACAUGCAGAUGCUGCAUGAAGGAGCAUAUACCCUUAUCCUGCCAGAGAUGGUGUGCCAAGGAUGCCAUGCUGCACGGCUUCAGCCUCAGACAGUCGUUUUGUGCCCUUUCUGCCCACGGGCUAGUGCUGGGGUGCAGGCAGGCAGUGGUUAUCUCACCGGUGUGGCUCACACUUGCCUCACUACUGGGGGAUUUUUUUGGCGCCACAUCCUCUGCAUCUUCUUUCCUACAUCUUGGAGAGUAUUACACCAACAAAUAAUCCCCUGUUACCUGCUAGUUCCUCAGGAGAGAGCAGCAUCACAGAGGAGUUGUGUGCCCAAGGGCAGAGAUCACAUGGCAAGCUAGUGACAGAGGAGGGAUUAAAACCUCUGGCUUGCAGCUCUGUGAUUUCUUUACACUGCCUUCUCUUGUGUAUUUUUUUAAAUGCUUUAGAGAAAGGAAAUACAAUUCAACAGAAUCAACAAGAGUUUGUGUCAUAAAGUUACCUACAUUUCAUAAGCAUGAGACUGGUUGGAAAGGAGUCCAAGGUCACAAGUGAUGUGGAAAACCACCAGGUCAACCCAUUUAUUUGGAUGUAUCACAGACGUACUGAGCCAGAAGCCUGCUGAGAACGAGCGUGUGGGAUGGAGAGGAGAAACAGGAUGACUUGCAGGGACAAGGAAGGACUGGAGCAUUAGAGGGCUGCAAGGGCAUUGUAGAGUAGAAGCAGCAAAUGAUUAAAAUUCAACUCCUAAUGACUCAGGAGCGGGAAGCCUGUCUAUUCAUGCUUUCUUAUGUUAAACCCCACCCUGGACAGUUGUCAGCUGCCAAGAAGGGUCAGGAUAUGUCAGUUUUCUUGUCUAAAAGCUGUUUUGUUUCUUGUCAACUUUGGCACUUCUUUGGCAGUGGAGAAGUGCUCAUGGGAGCCACGAGCUUUCAGGAGCCACACCAAACCCGCAAAGUCUGUACCUCUCCGUGUGCAGAGCAUACCCCCUUCAGAUAACGUCAGGGUUUCCAAAAUGCAGCAAGAUAUUUCUAGAGAAAAGCCUUCUGAAACCUUUGGUUGUACCCCUGCCACACAUGUCCUCAUGGACAGUCUGUGGCCAGAGCUUUGGUGCCAAAAGCUGCUCCCUUGCAGGGAGCAGUUCCUCACUCCAGGCCGAGGGCUGCAGCAGUGUCACAUUGCUCAACAUCAGCUGUCACUGGAGCAGACUGGACAGGUCCACACUCACAGCACUUGGCCCUGCAUCUCCCCUGGCCCCAUGUGGUGGAGCCAUGACCAUAAGACAUUAUUUUCUGUUUUUCUUGGUUGUCAGUUCAAGAGUCUGAAGUAAUCUGAUGUCUGGGGUGUUUUUGCAGUCCACUGGAAUUAAUAGCAUGAAACAAAAGGGGAUGUGACAUUUGAGGGAUCGGAGCCUGCUGGGAGGAAGGAAGCAAAGGAAGCCAAACUGGUUGAGUCUUGUUCAUGCUUCAUUUUGGGAGUGAAUCUUGAGCAAGUUACCGAAACAGCACCUGGGUUUUGUUUCAGAAAGAGUUGCUUCACUCCAGAAGAGAGCCCAGAAACAACCCAACAUUUCUAUACUGUGGGUGAUGACAGAAAAAAAUGCUUGAGGGCAAGGCUGCUCAACAGUGUGGGCAUUGAAUCUUCUGCUAGUAACAUUUAUUACAUGAAUUCAUGGGACCCAAAAAAAUACCUUGUCUGGAAUUGCUAAAAAUCUUCCUUGGCAUCUGAUCAUAUGGUCAUCUGAGCAUACCAUGCUCUUUAUGCCUGCAGUCAGUUCUCUAGCCAAGCCUAUUGUCCAGUAGCCUGCCUUUUUAAUGUCCUGUAAUUUACAGUUCUGGAGGCUUUUUCAUGGGUCAAGAUGAUGUUUAUUGCUGGAGUGGGAGUAUGUGAGAGCAAAAUCAUCUCGGCUGUUGCAUUAAAGCAGUUACUAUUGCUGGUAUGUAAUGUACUGAGCAAAUAGGUACGGAAUAUAUCUGUGAAUGAAUAAAUUAUGGAAAUGUCUUAUAAAUUGUUAUUCUUCUAAUUCUGUAAUUAUAGAAACCAUAGAAAUUGUACAAAAUAAAUGACACGUUUCAUUACAUGAAAAUACCUUCUGCUGUAGCAGGGAAAAAACUCAACACUAGGAAAUGUGAAAGGAAGAUAUCAGUGUGAGCUGCUUAUACAAUGCUGGGUUGCAGUUGCAUUAUUUUCCACCACAGCUUCUUACAAUGUGAGGAAAAGACACUUGGCUUUAUGAUUUAGGAAAAUCACUACAGGAAAGACGCCCUGCUCCUCUCAUCUUCAAAGAGCUGGAUUUGGAUACUACUUUUAAGGAAAACAAAUUCUGGUGAGUGUCCUCCUUAGUCUUAAUUGUCACAAAACAGUCAGGGUGUGGCCUGCAUGGUGGGUGGUUCCUCAGAGGGUCACCAGACCAAAUAGAUGCGGUGGUGACGAGGGUGACCACAGCAGUGUGAGGUUCACCUUGUAGGAACAAGCCCCUAAGGGCUGGUCGUGCAGGUGCAUGUCUUUGCCUGGAGCUGUGUUUGCAUUUGCCAUGACUGCCUCUCUUUUUCAUACAGGGGUAAAAUGGAGGAAGUGCUUUUACUUCCUUAUUUUACGGUUGUAGCCAUCCCACUGAAUGCCAGUGGAGCACAUUCAGAGAUACUAAAGUUGGUAGCUGACAGCACAGCUCGGGACUGCGAGCGAGCAAGUUUUUCACACUUGGAAAGCUGUUAGGGUGGGAUCCAGCUUUCUCUCUGUAGGUGUCAAGUCCCAAAUCAGACACUGCAGAGUACCCACUUGGCUAGAGCUGCUGCUAUGGAGCAACACAGGUCUGUAUGGGUAUGUUAACCCAAGACUGCCAGCCCCAUGCAUGUGUCUCAGAUACUCUACAACACUUUAGAUGGGUUCAGUCAACGAAUCCCACCUGUUUUCACAAAAAACAAUGGUUCUGAUAGAUUUUAAAACACUGUCAUGCACAAGAAAUCAUAGAAUCAUGAGACUGGCUUAGAUGAUCUAGUAGUUAAAAACCCUGCUUUUCUCUGUAGAUAUUUGGAGUACGUUCAGCUUGCAUAUUUAAGCUUUUUCUCUCCUACCAUAUACUCAGAAUUUUUUUUCAUGUCACCUAAUGUGCCCCUGUGCUCAUGGAAGUAAAAUUAAAAGAGUUCAUAGAAUUCUUGAGAAACUUGUGCAAAUUGACAACAGGAAUUCAAACUGUUAUCUGUUACCAUGUUGUAGGGAGAAAUGAAGAAAUAUGGUAACACUUUAGCAUGCAGUAUUUCUUCAGGCUUAACCUUCACAUGGGCUUAAUUCAAUUAUUAUGCCAAUGAAGGUGUGAUGUUGUCAGUAUAACUUAGGUUGAAUGCAGUUGCAAUGGGAUAGACUGUCCCUGUAUGCAAAUAAAUUGUUCUGUUUAACAUGUGAAAUGACUGUACCUUAGUCUAUUCAAUUUAGCUAGGUUGGUUUAAUUUCUCUGAGUCUUGAUAACAAGCUGUCCCUGAACAGGCGUUAGGUAGAGCCUACAUGUUCAUUUCUAGGUUUAAGAUAAAUGAUGAAAGGCAAGAGUCCCAUUUUGUGUCCUUAAGUCAAAUGUGCUCAAAGGACAAGCUACAUAAGCAAGUACAAGUAAAUGAGGAUUCACAUGGAAAAAAAGUGGUCAGCCUUAAGCAGAUCUCAGUAGACUUUCUAACUACAGGAUGGGAUAGAAAGCAUUUUGCCUUUCUAUUGACCUUAAAAGUGAUUACUUUAUACUCGUUCUAGAGGAAAUAAAUGAAGUUGAACUCUUCUCAUAGAAAAUCAGUGCUGUCCUUCAAGGGUCUGAACUUCCUAAGAUCAAUCACUGGAGUAAGUCCCUGGGUUGAUGGUACUGUCUGUUCCUCAUCUGUCAUCUCGGAAUCCAUGAAAUGACAUAGGCUUUUAUACCAUCAUAUGGUUGAGGAGCACGUCGUGGUCCUUGCACCAUUGCAGCGCUUUAACAGGUGCAAUGAAUUGAUUUAUCUUGCCAUCACAGACUGAGCACACUGCCUGAAAGCCAUAAAGCAGAUGAUCUGCUGCCAUACGAGACCAGCCUUCAGGCUUUGGUGAAUGCAGCAGAUAAUUACUCCUGAAGAGGAAUGUAUCAGAGGAACCACUUUCAAAUCCAAGUUUCCUGUGCAAUAUAAUCAUUCCUGUUUAAAUAAAGGACUCCAGCAGUGCUACUCAGCAACAUGUCUCUAUACAAAGUGAGGGUUGUUUCCUCUUGACACAGCUUUUUCUGUUCUUCUCAGAAAAUGACUCCAUUAGAAUCAAACAUUAGUCCAUCAAAGUGCCUAAAAUCAAUUAUCAUUUUAUGUUCAAUGGAAUCCUUACUUUCUAAAAAAUAUCACAAUGAAACUGCUCUAUUGUCCUUCCCCUUAUUGUUACUAUUAUUACCUCAUGAAUACUGCAGAGAGAAACAGC